GAGUUUGAUCCUGGCUCAGAACGAACGUUAGCGGCGCGCCUAACACAUGCAAGUCGAGCGAGAAAGGGAGCAAUCCCCGGUACAGCGGCGCACGGGUGAGUAACACGUAGGUAAUCUGCCUCCGAGUGGGGGAUAACCUUCCGAAAGGAGGGCUAAUACCGCAUGAGACCACGCCUUCGAGAGGAGGAGGGGUCAAAGCCGGCCACUAUACAUAAGCUGGCGCUUGGAGAUGAGCCUGCGGCCCAUCAGCUUGUUGGUAGGGUAACGGCCUACCAAGGCAAAGACGGGUAGCUGGUCUGAGAGGAUGAUCAGCCACACUGGAACUGAGACACGGUCCAGACUCCUACGGGAGGCAGCAGUGGGGAAUCUUGCGCAAUGGGCGAAAGCCUGACGCAGCGACGCCGCGUGGGUGAUGAAGGCC
Molecule: ribosomal RNA, 421 nt
Filed under: uncultured delta proteobacterium
Lineage: Bacteria; Deltaproteobacteria
Description: bacterial SSU rRNA
Rfam family: Bacterial small subunit ribosomal RNA
Source: RNAcentral